GUAUGACUCUUGGCAAUGGAUAUCUCGGCUCUCGCAUCGAUGGACAACGUAGCAAAAUGCGAUACCUGGUGUGAAUUGCAGUAUCCUGCAAACCAGCGAGUCUUUGAAUACAAGUUGCACCCGAGGCCGCUAGGCCAACGGCAUGCCUGCCUGGGCAUCAUGCCAAGCGAUGCU
This 174-nucleotide ribosomal RNA is filed under the name Sabal pumos. RNAcentral's name for it is "5.8S ribosomal RNA". The stretch from base 5 to 160 matches the Rfam family "5.8S ribosomal RNA". Rfam says of the family: 5.8S ribosomal RNA (5.8S rRNA) is a component of the large subunit of the eukaryotic ribosome. It is transcribed by RNA polymerase I as part of the 45S precursor that also contains 18S and 28S rRNA. Functionally, it is thought that 5.8S rRNA may be involved in ribosome translocation. Lineage: Eukaryota; Viridiplantae; Streptophyta; Magnoliopsida; Arecales; Arecaceae. The record is from RNAcentral.